GACGAACGCUGGCGGCGCGCUUAACACAUGCAAGUCGAGCGAAGCUGCGGACGGGUGAGUAACACGUGAGUAACCUGCCUUAGACAUUGGGAUAGCCUCGGGAAACCGGGAUAAAUACCAAAUGGUCUAAGAUGGACUCGCGUCCCAUUCGCUAGUUGGUGAGGUAACGGCCCACCAAGGCGACGGUGGGUAGCCGGCCUGUGAGGGGGAUCGGCCACAUUGGAACUGAGAAACGGUCCAACCUCUACGGGAGGCAGCAGUGGGUAAUAUUGCACAAUGGAGGGAACUCUGAUGCAGCGACGCCGCGUGAACGAAGAAGGCUUUCGAGUCGUAAAGUUCUUUUAUAUGGGAAGCGGUACCAUAAGAAAAAGCCCCGGCUAACUACGUGCCAGCAGCCGCGGUAAUUC
RNAcentral lists this ribosomal RNA (407 nucleotides) under uncultured bacterium. RNAcentral describes it as "partial 16S ribosomal RNA". It matches the Rfam family "Bacterial small subunit ribosomal RNA", at positions 28 to 526 of the family's 1533-position model. The record is from RNAcentral.